Long non-coding RNA from Bradysia coprophila, 64 nucleotides. NCBI's taxonomy places the organism in Eukaryota, Metazoa, Arthropoda, Insecta, Diptera, Sciaridae. The record is from RefSeq and is a predicted model, not a curated record.
GUCGAAAAAGUUUAAUGUAAUAUGGAGAUUGUGAUUUUCACUUAGAAGUUGACGUAAAACUUGA